ACGGUGGCUAAUACCGCAUAACGUCGCAAGACCAAAGAGGGGGACCUUCGGGCCUCUUGCCAUCAGAUGUGCCCAGAUGGGAUUAGCUUGUUGGUGAGGUAACGGCUCACCAAGGCGACGAUCCCUAGCUGGUCUGAGAGGAUGACCAGCCACACUGGAACUGAGACACGGUCCAGACUCCUACGGGAGGCAGCAGUGGGGAAUAUUGCACAAUGGGCGCAAGCCUGAUGCAGCCAUGCCGCGUGUAUGAAGAAGGCCUUCGGGUUGUAAAGUACUUUCAGCGGGGAGGAAGGUGUUGUGGUUAAUAACCGCAGCAAUUGACGUUACCCGCAGAAGAAGCACCGGCUAACUCCGUGCCAGCAGCCGCGGUAAUACGGAGGGUGCAAGCGUUAAUCGGAAUUACUGGGCGUAAAGCGCACGCAGGCGGUCUGUCAAGUCGGAUGUGAAAUCCCCGGGCUCAACCUGGGAACUGCAUUCGAAACUGGCAGGCUUGAGUCUUGUAGAGGGGGGUAGAAUUCCAGGUGUAGCGGUGAAAUGCGUAGAGAUCUGGAGGAAUACCGGUGGCGAAGGCGGCCCCCUGGACAAAGACUGACGCUCAGGUGCGAAAGCGUGGGGAGCAAACAGGAUUAGAUACCCUGGUAGUCCACGCCGUAAACGAUGUCUACUUGGAGGUUGUGCCCUUGAGGCGUGGCUUCCGGAGCUAACGCGUUAAGUAGACCGCCUGGGGAGUACGGCCGCAAGGUUAAAACUCAAAUGAAUUGACGGGGGCCCGCACAAGCGGUGGAGCAUGUGGUUUAAUUCGAUGCAACGCGAAGAACCUUACCUGGUCUUGACAUCCACAGAAGAAUCCAGAGAUGGAUUUGUGCCUUCGGGAACUGUGAGACAGGUGCUGCAUGGCUGUCGUCAGCUCGUGUUGUGAAAUGUUGGGUUAAGUCCCGCAACGAGCGCAACCCUUAUCCUUUGUUGCCAGCGGUUAGGCCGGGAACUCAAAGGAGACUGCCAGUGAUAAACUGGAGGAAGGUGGGGAUGACGUCAAGUCAUCAUGGCCCUUACGACCAGGGCUACACACGUGCUACAAUGGCGCAUACAAAGAGAAGCGACCUCGCGAGAGCAAGCGGACCUCAUAAAGUGCGUCGUAGUCCGGAUUGGAGUCUGCAACUCGACUCCAUGAAGUCGGAAUCGCUAGUAAUCGUGGAUCAGAAUGCCACGGUGAAUACGUUCCCGGGCCUUGUACACACCGCCCGUCACACCAUGGGAGUGGGUUGCAAAAGAAGUAGGUAGCUUAACCUUCGGGAGGGCGCUUACCACUUUGUGAUUCAUGACUGGGGUGAAGUCGUAACAAGGUAACCGUAGGGGAACCUGCGGUUGGAUCACCUCCUUACCUUAAAGAA
RNAcentral lists this ribosomal RNA (1391 nucleotides) under Salmonella enterica subsp. enterica serovar Enteritidis. Its description in RNAcentral is "bacterial SSU rRNA". It matches the Rfam family "Bacterial small subunit ribosomal RNA", at positions 156 to 1533 of the family's 1533-position model. The record is from RNAcentral. Lineage: Bacteria; Pseudomonadati; Pseudomonadota; Gammaproteobacteria; Enterobacterales; Enterobacteriaceae.